This 253-nucleotide ribosomal RNA is filed under the name uncultured bacterium. Its description in RNAcentral is "partial 16S ribosomal RNA". It matches the Rfam family "Bacterial small subunit ribosomal RNA", at positions 524 to 776 of the family's 1533-position model. The record is from RNAcentral.
UACAGGGGGUGCAAACGUUGCUCGGAAUUAUUGGGCGUAAAGCGCGCGUAGGCGGCUACUUAAGUCGGAUGUGAAAGCCCCUGGCUCAACUGGGGAAGUGCACCCGAAACUGAGUGGCUUGAGUGCGAAAGAGGGUCGCGGAAUUCCCGGUGUAGAGGUGAAAUUCGUAGAUAUCGGGAGGAACACCGGUGGCGAAGGCGGCGACCUGGACCAACACUGACACUGAGGAGCGAAAGCCAGGGGAGCAAACGGG